Non-coding RNA from Cyanistes caeruleus (blue tit), 674 nucleotides. NCBI's taxonomy places the organism in Eukaryota, Metazoa, Chordata, Aves, Passeriformes, Paridae. The record is from RefSeq and is a predicted model, not a curated record.
GCAGGCCCGGCGGGGUCGGCAGGCACAGCCACGGCAGCAGGAAAGGGCCUUGAAAACCCAGACGUGUUGGAUGUGUUUCUGUGGUUUAGCCACCACCAUCCCCAGCCCCUCUGUCCUGGGCAUUGAUGCUGGGGGGCUUCAGCCCCUUGGGGUGAUCCCCACCGUGAAGGGUGCAGAGAGCCUGGGGACCCCCGAGCCACUGCUGCCCACACAGCUACUGCAACCAGCCCAACACCCGCAGCCUCCUCUCUUCCUGGGGAAAAAAAGAGGUGCAAGCUCCACUGUGAUAAAACUAGUAUUUAUUAACUAAAUGAAGUGGGACCAGGGCCAGACUGAUUCACGUUUUAAUUGUUUAACUUUUUCCAUGUAUCAUCAUUUAAAUUACAUACUUAGCCAGGCAUUAUUUCCACCACCACACCCCUGUUUUUCUGCAGCUUUUGUUUGGAGUUAACUUUGGUUUUGUUACUGCCAGUCUGCCCCAGGGACUCAAAAAAUUUCUCAGAUGUCGUGUGCCACAGGAGGGGGACUGGGGGAAAGAGGCCCAUUGGAAAAGUUUCCUGUUUUCCCUUUCUCAUAUAUGAAAUAAGCUAUUUUAAUUACUUUAGGGAGGAAAAAAAAAAUCCCUACACAUAUAAUAAAACCCAGAAAACCAUGCUUGAUUCUAGAGAAACUUA